Molecule: small nuclear RNA, 333 nt
Filed under: Cebus imitator (Panamanian white-faced capuchin)
Lineage: Eukaryota; Metazoa; Chordata; Mammalia; Primates; Cebidae
Description: 7SK RNA (ENSCCAG00000011340.1)
Rfam family: 7SK RNA
About the family: 7SK was discovered as an abundant small nuclear RNA in the mid-70s but a possible function has only recently been suggested. Two independent studies have found that 7SK RNA binds the CDK9/cyclin T complex (known as elongation factor P-TEFb).
Source: RNAcentral
GGAUCUGAAGGUGAUGUGGCUGCACCAUCUGCCACCUCUUAGAUCACCAGAGGUGACACUGCUAUCUGGCUGCCUGGACAGGUGUUUCCUUACUCCCUCAUUGCACACCUCCAGAACCUAAGCAUUCAGUCAAGAGGACCAUGGUCCCCUGUAGAAGAGAACCAGUCUUCUGAAAAGGAUAUAUAAGAUAAGCUGCACUCACCUGCUAGAAAUUUCAGACAAGUUCUCAAGAUCCUUUUAUUUUUAUUUAUUUAUUUAUUUAUUUAUUUAUUUAUUAUUUUUGAGACAGGGUCUUACUCUCUCACCCAGACUGGAGUGUGAUGGCCUGAUCUC